This 330-nucleotide ribosomal RNA is filed under the name uncultured Chloroflexota bacterium. RNAcentral describes it as "bacterial SSU rRNA". It matches the Rfam family "Bacterial small subunit ribosomal RNA", at positions 28 to 350 of the family's 1533-position model. Lineage: Bacteria; Bacillati; Chloroflexota. The record is from RNAcentral.
GAUGAACGCUGGCGGCGUGCUUAAUACAUGCAAGUCGAACGAGGAGUUCAAGUAGUAAUACUAGGAUUUCCUAGUGGCGAAUGGGUGAGUAACGCGUUGGUGACCUGCCCCGAAGAGAGGGAUAACAGUUCGAAAGGACUGCUAAUACCUCAUGUGGUCAUAACGGUUAGAGGCGUUAUGUCUAAAGGAGCAAUCUGCUUCGGGAGGGGCCUGCGUCCCAUCAGCUAGUUGGUAGGGUAAUGGCCUACCAAGGCUACGACGGGUAGGGGACCUGAGAGGGUGACCCCCCACACUGGCACUGAAACACGGGCCAUACACCUACGGGUGGCA